This 497-nucleotide ribosomal RNA is filed under the name uncultured bacterium. RNAcentral describes it as "partial 16S ribosomal RNA". It matches the Rfam family "Bacterial small subunit ribosomal RNA", at positions 28 to 507 of the family's 1533-position model. The record is from RNAcentral.
GAUGAACGCUGGCGGCGUGCCUAAUACAUGCAAGUAGAACGCUGAAGGAAGGAGCUUGCUCUUUCCGGAUGAGUUGCGAACGGGUGAGUAACGCGUAGGUAACCUGCCUGGUAGCGGGGGAUAACUAUUGGAAACGAUAGCUAAUACCGCAUAACAGUAGAUGUUGCAUGACAACUAUUUGAAAGGGGCAAUUGCUCCACUACCAGAUGGACCUGCGUUGUAUUAGCUAGUUGGUGAGGUAACGGCUCACCAAGGCGACGAUACAUAGCCGGCCUGAGAGGGUGAUCGGCCACACUGGGACUGAGACACGGCCCAGACUCCUACGGGAGGCAGCAGUAGGGAAUCUUCGGCAAUGGACGGAAGUCUGACCGAGCAACGCCGCGUGAGUGAAGAAGGUUUUCGGAUCGUAAAGCUCUGUUGUAAGAGAAGAACGAGUGUGAGAGUGGAAAGUUCACACUGUGACGGUAUCUUACCAGAAAGGGACGGCUAACUACGUG